RNAcentral lists this ribosomal RNA (253 nucleotides) under uncultured bacterium. Its description in RNAcentral is "partial 16S ribosomal RNA". It matches the Rfam family "Bacterial small subunit ribosomal RNA", at positions 524 to 776 of the family's 1533-position model. The record is from RNAcentral.
UACGUAGGGUGCGAGCGUUAAUCGGAAUUACUGGGCGUAAAGCGUGCGCAGGCGGUUCGUUGUGUCCGAUGUGAAAGCCCCGGGCUUAACCUGGGAAUUGCAUUCGAAACUGCGAGGCUAGGGUACGGAAGAGGGAAGCGGAAUUUCUGGUGUAGCGGUGAAAUGCGUAGAUAUCAGAAGGAACAUCAGUGGCGAAAGCGGCUUCCUGGUCCAGUACCGACGUUCAGGCACGAAAGCGUGGGGAGCAAACAGG